UACGUAGGGGGCAAGCGUUGUCCGGAUUUAUUGGGCGUAAAGAGCGUGUAGGCGGCCUGACAGGUCUGCUGUGAAAACUCGAGGCUCAACCUCGAGAUGUCGGCGGAAACCGUCUGGCUAGAGUCCGGAAGAGGAGAGUGGAAUUCCUGGUGUAGCGGUGAAAUGCGCAGAUAUCAGGAGGAACACCGAUGGCGAAGGCAGCUCGCUGGGACGGUACUGACGCUGAGGCGCGAAAGCGUGGGGAGCAAACAGG
RNAcentral lists this ribosomal RNA (253 nucleotides) under uncultured bacterium. RNAcentral's name for it is "partial 16S ribosomal RNA". It matches the Rfam family "Bacterial small subunit ribosomal RNA", at positions 524 to 776 of the family's 1533-position model. The record is from RNAcentral.